Molecule: non-coding RNA, 2120 nt
Organism: Nomia melanderi (Alkali bee)
Lineage: Eukaryota; Metazoa; Arthropoda; Insecta; Hymenoptera; Halictidae
Source: RefSeq, a predicted model, not a curated record
UUCACACCAAGGGAGUUGCAGCUGCAACAUUUUCCCGCGAAUCGCUCGUGCGCGUUCAGCUUUAGCCUUAUGUGUCUCGGGAACGACGGCGGAACGCGGAGGGGCGGGAGGAGUCUCUCGCUGUACGUUUUGUUUAUGGUCAACGAUUGGCCGCUUGCAACCGCGGUGACGAACAGCGGGUCGGCUAUCGAUAAUCGAACGGGAACAGGUGAAAACGAUCAGACGAAUGCCAGCGGCAUUCUUGUCUAAGACGCGUAACGGUUUUUAUCCUCGCGUUCAGUUGUUAUUAUCGCGUUCACCGGAAUGUCUAAAUCGCUCGCGGCCGUCCCACGUCGCGCGUUGCGUCGGCCACGCGACGUCCCCGACUGCUGUUGCGAAACCGAGCCGUACGAUUCCCGUCGCGUCGCGCGGAGUCGAAAGAACCGUAGCCUCGCCGCGAUCCACGCGCACCGUUCAUCGCGAACCGAACACGUGAACCGUGUGUCACCAGGACCAGUGUCGUACCGUCGUGCCACGAAACUGUUACGAAAUGGCGCAGUUGUUCUCUAGCUUCCCUCUGUUUGCAAAACAUCCAUUGUAGGCCGGCUGAUUGCAAACAAUUGAAGCGUCCGAAGACGUCGAUUUAUUUUGGAAGAAUAGAGGCGUGACGUUUUACUCGAACAAAAGGAUGCUGAGGAGCAGCUGCGUCAUCGUUGGACCGCAGGGCCCCGAGAUAGUUCCGUGCUGCGUCAUCGUUUCCGACGAAUCCGCGGCAAAACGAACACUCCGAGGACGGUUCAUGGGCCGCAACGAAGCAGCCCCGCUCGAGAAUGCGAGGAAUCGUCGGGCAGGCUCGCCGCGGAUGACGAUCGCGAUGAUGUGGCACGCGUUGGCCUCCUUUCCUUCUCGUCGCCGUUUCCCCGAUCACCGGCCGAGCUCUGCUGCCUAGGCUCCGGGCCCUGGGACUCUCGUCCUGCGAGGAUCUCCUGGUACAUCGAGUUCAACGCAACUGAACACGAUCAACGCCCUUUUACUUGUAGGGCUACUAAAAUAAAAACUAAGUCCGUAGUCAGGUUAAAUAUAUUUAUUGCUCGAUGUGACUCUAACGAGGAACGACGACUAACUUUUCCUCGACGCUUUUCUAAGAAGGAAACCUCUUCAGACGAGGGCGUACGUGACCUAGGUUCUGGUGGUCCCCUCGGUCAUAAAUUAGUCAAUGGGCCUGGUCUAUCUCUCAGGCCCCCAAGUAUUGACACGUAACAUACAAGACAACCGAUGUGAAAUAAAAAUGUUUAAUAAGGCAACUAAGCUGAUAAUAGUGUAACGCAAACAUUGCACCGCCGAACGAUUCAUAAUUGUUCCUGCUUUUCUUUGCUACAAAAGACAAACUCUAUGGGAAAGUACUUAAGAUUUUCGUGGCGCUCAACGUGUUAAUUUAUUCUCCGAUUGCUGAAAAUCUGGCGGCACCUUUCCUAUGCUGCCACUAGGGGGCUGCUGACACCGACAGCCUUUCUCGCUACUGCUCGGUUCUUUGCCUAUUUGUAUAUAUACCGCCUGGAAGUUACAAUCGCUACUAGCAUCUAAGGCACGGGGUAAUAGGAAGCCUUUUGAUGAAUCCACUGGUGCUCAUCUUUAAUCUUUCAUGAAUCUCUUACACCUGUUAUAUUAUCAGAAGGAGACGCCUUUGGAAAGAUACAAUUUUUACAUUAUGGAAAAGAUAGGACAUCUUGUUAUGACUCAGAAUUAGUUCACAAAAAAUGUGAACACCUAAAAAAGACGGAACAACUUUUCUGCAGCAAUUGUGUUACCUGAGAAUAACAACACAUCUUUGCACGAAUGCUGAAGAUAUCAAACACAAAAACUCUCAAAUACAAACUUAGACCUAGACACAACGCUCUUCUACAUCAUAGGAUCACAUUAGAAACACAAUGAAAACUACCUGAAGCAAACCAACCUUACAACAAAAUUGAGAGUAAAGCAAAUGAACAAUGUUCUGUGGCUAAAAUGGACCUCUAGUCCGUCGAUGUGACCUUAAAAGUUAAUUUAACCCUUUACGGUCCAAAGUGCUCUCUUGGUUUCUCACUUUGUUAGUUCAUUCAAUUACAGCUUAAUAUGACGCUCUAUUUAUUUAUUCAAGAAUA